AUCAACUAAUAAAGGAGGUUGAUGCUCAAAUCCCUAAUUAUCCAAAUCUCCCCCCUCGGUUGAUCUGCCAGCUUCAUAAUGUCAUGAUGCAUGGACUGAUGAAGUUUAUGCCCAAAUGACACUACAGCCGUUGAGCCCGGAAGAGCAAAAGGAGCCUUUUCUUCCAAUUGAGCUGGGUGGUGC
This is a long non-coding RNA of Hordeum vulgare subsp. vulgare (domesticated barley), 183 nucleotides long. RefSeq lists it as uncharacterized. Lineage: Eukaryota; Viridiplantae; Streptophyta; Magnoliopsida; Poales; Poaceae. The record is from RefSeq and is a predicted model, not a curated record. The transcript has 3 exons.